Molecule: small nuclear RNA, 107 nt
Filed under: Ochotona princeps (American pika)
Lineage: Eukaryota; Metazoa; Chordata; Mammalia; Lagomorpha; Ochotonidae
Source: RNAcentral
GUGCCUGCUUUGGCAGCACAUAUACUAAGAUUGGAAUGAUACAGAGAAGAUUAACAUGGCCCCUGCCCAAGGAUGAUACGCAAAUUUGUGAAGCAUUCUAUAUCUUU